This 254-nucleotide ribosomal RNA is filed under the name uncultured bacterium. RNAcentral's name for it is "partial 16S ribosomal RNA". It matches the Rfam family "Bacterial small subunit ribosomal RNA", at positions 524 to 776 of the family's 1533-position model. The record is from RNAcentral.
UACGUAGGGUGCAAGCGUUAAUCGGAAUUACUGGGCGUAAAGCGUGCGCAGGCGGUUAUGUAAGACAGGUGUGAAAUCCCCGGGCUUAACCUGGGAACUGCAUUUGUGACUGCAUAGCUAGAGUACGGUAGAGGGGGAUGGAAUUCCGCGUGUAGCAGUGAAAUGCGUAGAUAUGACGGAGGAACACCGAUGGCGAAGGCAAUCCCCUGGACCUGUACUGACGCUCAUGCACGAAAGCGUGGGGAGCAAACAGG